RNAcentral lists this long non-coding RNA (1662 nucleotides) under Homo sapiens (human). Its description in RNAcentral is "HSALNT0323333". Lineage: Eukaryota; Metazoa; Chordata; Mammalia; Primates; Hominidae. The record is from RNAcentral.
GGUUUGAGAAUUUUGAAACACUCACAAUACAGCUUCGGUAGCAUCAGUGAUAUUCUCCCUUUAUCACCCAGGCUGGAAUACAGUGGCACCAUCUCAGCUUACUGCAACCUCUGCCUCCUGGAUUCAAGCGACUCUCGUGCCUCAGUCUCCCGAGUAGCUGGGAUUACAGGACCCUUGUGAUUACAUCAGAGAUACCCAGAUAAUCCAGGAUAAUCACUCCAUCUCUAGAUAUUUAAUCACAAAGUCCAUUUUAACAUGAAAGGCACGGUGGCUCACGCCUGUAAUCCCAACACUUUGGGAGGCUGAGGCGGGCGGAUCACUUGAAAUCAGGAGUUCAAGACUAGCCUGGCCAUCUCUACUAAAAAGACAAAAAUUAGCCAGGCGUGGUGGUGUACAUCUGUAAUCCCAGCUACUCAGAAGGCCAAAGCACGAGAAUUGCUUGAACCCGGGAGGCGGAGGUUGCAGUGAGCCAAGAUCGUGCUCCGGCCUGGGCAACAGAGGGAGACUCCAUCUCAAAAAAAAAAAAAAGAAAAAAAAAAGCAGUUGUUAUAUUUUUCAUCAACAUGAAUUUGCAGAAAACAAAAGCCUGUUUCACUUCCAAAUGUUCUUGAUAAAACAGAGGAAAGGCUGGACCCUGUAUUUGUGUUGUGUACCCUCACUCUAGGAGGUGUCUUCACACUAAGAGAUGGCCACUCAGCUUCUGGCAUUAUCACUCUGCAUCUACUUUGCCAAGCUUCUUCUUUUGAAACGUCUUGUGUAGGCAGUAGUUAUGAAUAUGCCACCCAGAAGAAUACCAGAUGAAUAAACUUACAAAUAUUUUGAAUAAAGCUCAAUCUAACAAUAGAUAUUUGAAUGAAAAUACUGGAAUCUCUUGUAAUAGCUCAGAAGGUAGCUUAAGUUUUAGCACAGGUGGUAGGAUCACAACACCUUGACCAGGACAGUCCACCUCUGAGCCUCGUCUACUAUGUGGUUUCUGAGUUCUGAAGCUCAGAAUGUUACAUAUAUGGGAAGUAGAAUAUAAUAAUCUAUGUAAUUUCUCUGGAUUCCAUUCCCAGUUAUCACAUGCCCCAAGAUUCCCAAUAAAUCAGAAAACCUCACAUUUGCAUUUUAGUAUUUCCAAAGGUUUUUUAUUUUUAUUUAGAGACUGGGUUUCACUGUUGCCUAGGCCAGAGUGCAGGGGCUAUUCACAGGUGCGAUCAUAGCACCCCACAGCCUUGAAUACCUGGGCUCAAGCAAUCCUCUUGCCUCAGCCUCCCAAGCAGCUGGGACUACAGGCACCCAGCUUCCAAGGCUGUUUUUAUUUUUAUUUUUUAAAGUUAUGUAUAGAUAGGAAAUCAAACACUUAGGAGUGAGCCCUCUCAACUCUUACUCCUCUCACAUUUCCCUCUCAGUCUAUACAUAAUCAGAAACCUGGGAGACCCUUGAUGUUGUCAAGUAAACAUUUCAGGUGUGAUAAAAAAGGAUAUAGGCGCCUAAAUUUUAAACUUACUAGCAUAAUCACGUUAUCAACAUAAAUUAACUACUGAAAGUUAAUUUGCUUAAACAUGGCUGAUCACAGUUUUUACCCCAUCAGUCAAUCUCAAUAACUUCUCUUACUUCAAGUGAAGAUAGUACUAUCUAUUAUAAGAAUAAUUCUAAAGCUGCACUCAUGAACAGUCAUGU